RNAcentral lists this small RNA (332 nucleotides) under uncultured bacterium. RNAcentral describes it as "bacterial SSU rRNA". It matches the Rfam family "Bacterial small subunit ribosomal RNA", at positions 45 to 358 of the family's 1533-position model. The record is from RNAcentral.
UCGUCCAACACUAANGNAGNGAGNGAGAAAGUUCCCUUCGGGGAGCGAGUAAAGCGGUGUAAGCGCGAGUAACACGAGAGAAACCUACCCCAGGGACUGGGAUAACUCGCCGAAAGGUGGGUUAAUACCGGAUAAGACCACGCGGACUAAUGUCCGAGCGGUAAAAGAUGGCCUCUACUUGUAAGCUAUCACCCAGGGAUGGGCCCGCGUACCAUUAGCUUGUUGGUAGGGUAAUGGCCUACCAAGGCAGCGAUGGUUAGCUGGUCUGAGAGGAUGGCCAGCCACACUGGAACUGAGAUACGGUCCAGACUCCUACGGGAGGCAGCAGUGGG